UACGUAGGGUGCAGGCGUUAAUCGGAAUUACUGGGCGUAAAGCGUGCGCAGGCGGUUUGCUAAGACAGGUGUGAAAUCCCCGGGCUUAACCUGGGAACUGCGCUUGUUACUGGCAAGCUGGAGUGUGGCGGAGGGGGGUGGAAUUCCACGUGUAGCAGUGAAAUGCGUAGAGAUGUGGAGGAAUACCGAUGGCGAAGGCAGCCCCCUGGGAUAACACUGACGCUCAUGCACGAAAGCGUGGGGAGCAAACAGG
This 253-nucleotide ribosomal RNA is filed under the name uncultured bacterium. Its description in RNAcentral is "partial 16S ribosomal RNA". It matches the Rfam family "Bacterial small subunit ribosomal RNA", at positions 524 to 776 of the family's 1533-position model. The record is from RNAcentral.